UGGUGUGUCAGAAAAAUACAUAAAAAGGCUGAGUUCUGCUAUCUUACUAAGAAAAUAAAUUACCUAAGAGAAAAUCCUAACUUGAAGUGAAUUUAGUCAGAAGACCUCUUUCUGACAUAUUUGUAUAUAGUUGUAACUGAUACCUCACCAGUUACAUAAAACAUGUUUAUUAUUAUUAGUUAUAUAUUCAGAGCCUUUUCUGAAUAACUAACAAUGAAAUACAGCUUAUACCAUACAUAAACUGUAUUGUUUAUUAUAAUUUCCAGACCUUUAGGAAAUUAUCCCUUACUUGUCAAAUGUUUUCCUAUUUAAUCCUAUUUAUUACAAAAUGACAAACGUUAACAGUAAACAUGAACUUCAAUGAACAAUUUCAAUAAUCCUAACUUUAAAAGAUAAACUAGAAAUAAAGCUUUAAAGAGUCCGCUAAAAUGAAAUAUUCCUUUUAAACUUUGAAAACGCUAACUUUACUAUUUUCCUUUACAAUUUAACCUUUAAAAAAAAUGAAGUUUCUAAGGAAAAUAAACCAUUUUGACUAAAAUAAAUAACGAGCAAAUAAAAAUACCAACUGUAAGAACCAAAAGUUUAAGCAGAACUGACGACCAAGCGUCGAAAUUACGUCAAUGUUGGAUUGUUGGAUUGUUGGAUGGUUGGAUGGUUGGAUCGCGCGCUUGCCGUCCAACCAAAUAUUUGAAUUCUUAAUAAAUUACAAAAAUCACAAUAAUAUACAAUUUAAGUAACCUUUAUAUAAUAAACAAAGUUUGCAUGGUACUAAACAAAUUUCUAUAGUAACUAAAAAUACAACAAUAUAUACAGCGCCACCGGAAGUCACAAUACGUAAACAACAUUGCGAAAAGUCAUGUGUGUCACCGGCGGACCAAAAUGUUAAAUAUCAAGGAAAGUGAGCAUUAACAUCUACAAAACAUUGAAGACGUUGACUACAAAUACUAAAAGGAAUUACAAGAAGUAUGUGAAAACAGUUGCCAACACGUAAAAAUAGUGUUUUUAUUGAACAAUCGUCCCAAGUGACACAUGGAUUCUACUGCGCAUGUCAAUACAUUUCAUUCAUAAAAUUCAAGCACAGGUGCGUGGAAUUUACUACGAUUUACUACGAUCUACUACAGUUGCUACAAUUGGAUCUUCACAAAAAUACAAGACAUACAGUUGGAUUAUUCAGUGGAUUAUUACUAUGAACUGGUAAAUUAUUACAUGAACUUCAACUGGUUUAUCAAAUAUAUACAAAUGACAGUAAUUCAAUAUUUCUACAAGAAUCAUAAUAUUGUAAUUGUUCUAACUUUACUUUAUUAAAUGUUAAUUAAAACUUAUUUGCUUCAAUUAUCAAAUGUUCCAGACUACUAGCAUUACAAGUAGUAUAAUACAAGUUAUUUCACACAGUUACUGUUUCCUACAUCAUAACUUACAUAAAAAUUACAGAAUAUUAGACAGUAUGCUUUAUUAAUACCAAUUUAAAACAUACAUCAAAAAUAUCUUACAUGUCUAUCACACGUCAUAAUAAAAUACAUGAAAAUACAUGUACCCUAGUCGUCGUACUCUACAUUUUACCCCCUUUCCAUUAUUUGCGUCCCCGCAAAUACUUUAAACUUUUGCCAAAGAUUCCAUUUAAAAUUUUCUAUGUCUUAAAUCCUUCGUAAAUAUAUACAUAUUCUUCUUAAAGAGAAAUUAUUUCUAAAACUGGAUGAAAUCAGCUUUCUUAUUACUACAAUCUAUGAUUAUAACACAAAUACAUCAUAAUAUAAUACCAGAUUAUGUAAAAAUUAUACAUAAAUAUAUAUAUUUAUAUAUUUUACAGAUACACCAGUACACCGGAAGAUUCAACAUUGUGACCAUCAGCAUGAGGGCGGUAGAUACCAGAUAAACAUACAUAUAUACCAACUGUGGAAAAUUACUGAAUGUUAUGAACAAACUGGAACAUGGCUAAGAACCAGAAGUUUUCUGAAGGAAAAUUUUAGUUACCAUGCAAAUAGUACCAAAACAUUUAAAUACAAGUUCAAAAAUACACCCAAAAUUUAACUUUUCACACUUAAAAG
RNAcentral lists this long non-coding RNA (2045 nucleotides) under Mytilus galloprovincialis (Mediterranean mussel). Lineage: Eukaryota; Metazoa; Mollusca; Bivalvia; Mytilida; Mytilidae. The record is from RNAcentral.